AUACUACUCCCUCCGUCUCAAAAUUCUUGUCUUUGAUUUGUUUAGAUACGAAUGUAUCUAGUCAAGUUUUAGUANNUAGAUACAUCCAUUUCUAGACAAAUCUAAGAAAAAAAAUUUAGGACGGAGGGAGUAUGUG
Hordeum vulgare subsp. vulgare (domesticated barley) is the source of this 136-nucleotide non-coding RNA. Lineage: Eukaryota; Viridiplantae; Streptophyta; Magnoliopsida; Poales; Poaceae. The record is from Rfam.